RNAcentral lists this long non-coding RNA (227 nucleotides) under Gallus gallus (chicken). The record is from RNAcentral. Lineage: Eukaryota; Metazoa; Chordata; Aves; Galliformes; Phasianidae.
CCAAGACCCAAAACUGUGAGGAAGCAGGUUUUUUAAAGGACAGUUUCAGAACAGACUGGGAUUUCUCUGAAAGCCAAAGGCCAGGAAAAAAGGAUUAAAUCACCAUGUUACAAAGCCAUGAUAUCUAGGUUGGAGGUCUGCAUGGAUUGAAAGGGGAUGCAUUCCCCCCUUCGAAGCAGGAAGCUAGUUAUCCUGGCCCAGCACCAAUGUUCUUGCUUCUGCUGGAG